AGUCGAGCGAUGAAGCACCUUCGGGUGUGAAUUAGCGGCGAACGGGUGAGGAACACGUGAAGAAUCUGCCUUCAACUCUGGGAUAACUCCGGGAAACCGGGGCUAAUACCGGAUAUGAGCCUUGAUCGCAUGAUCGGGGCUGGAAAGUUUUUCGGUUGAAGAUGACUUCGCGGCCUAUCAGCUUGUUGGUGAGGUAAUGGCUCACCAAGGCGACGACGGGUAGCCGGCCUGAGAGGGCGACCGGCCACACUGGGACUGAGACACGGCCCAGACUCCUACGGGAGGCAGCAGUGGGGAAUAUUGGGCAAUGGAGGAAACUCUGACCCAGCGACGCCGCGUGAGGGAUGAAGGCCUUCGGGUUGUAAACCUCUUUCAGUAGGGAAGAAGCGAAAGUGACGGUACCUACAGAAGAAGCACCGGCUAACUAUGUGCCAGCAGCCGCGGUAAUACAUAGGGUGCAAGCGUUGUCCGGAAUUAUUGGGCGUAAAGAGCUCGUAGGUGGUUCGAUACGUCGGAUGUGAAAAUCAGGGGCUCAACCACUGACCUGCAUCCGAUACGGUCGAGCUGGAGUUUGGUAGGGGAGACUGGAAUUCCUGGUGU
RNAcentral lists this ribosomal RNA (600 nucleotides) under uncultured Actinomycetes bacterium. Its description in RNAcentral is "bacterial SSU rRNA". It matches the Rfam family "Bacterial small subunit ribosomal RNA", at positions 60 to 676 of the family's 1533-position model. Lineage: Bacteria; Bacillati; Actinomycetota; Actinomycetes. The record is from RNAcentral.